Equus caballus (horse) is the source of this 3236-nucleotide long non-coding RNA. The record is from Ensembl. NCBI's taxonomy places the organism in Eukaryota, Metazoa, Chordata, Mammalia, Perissodactyla, Equidae.
CCUCCCUCUAAGAUGGGAGAGACCCCGGGCAGCCGGAAAGCCUUGGCCCUGGACGUGGAGACCACCCCAGUGGAGAGGGGAGAGAGAACGGCGGCAGAGGGCCUCACCCACUCCCGCCUCUCCGUCAGCCCCUAUCACACGGCGCUGGUCUCCUCGCACGUAGGAAGGUUGUCGCGUGAACUGCAUGGCGUGCUAGGUGCUCUCUCAGGACUAUCAGUCACUUCAAGCCACUGAAGAGGACAAUGCUUAACAAACAACCGAAUUCCUCCUUCCAGCUCUGAGAGUUGGCACACCCCAUGGAGCGCCUCCUUUGCGCCCCGUCCUGGGGAAAGAGCAGUGAGCACAGGGGUAAAGUUCCUGCCUCACGGCCCUGCAUCAUUUCUUAGGAAGGCAGACCAUGCACACAAACACAACCUGCCGGGUGUUGGGUUGACUGAGAGAGCAGAGCAAGGCGGAGGCAUAGCGGGCGUGAUGGAGGAAGGCCUCACGGCAGGCAACAUCUGACCUGAGGCCUGAGCUCAGGGUCAGCCAUGUGGGCAUGGUCAGUGUGGUCUGUCCACCCCUCCUGCUCGCCCACAUUUCAUGGUGUUUCCCCAGCAGGCCAACCCCCUCCUGCCUCGGGGCCUUUGCUCUAGCUGUUUCCAGUGCCUAUGAUGCUCCUCCUUCCCCUCUCCAAGCUUUUGCCUAAGUGUCACCUUCUCAACAAGGCCUGCCCUGAGCAGCCUAUUUAAAACGGCCACCCUCACCCCACUGACCGGCUCUGUUUCUCCCUGUGAUGCUUGCCACCCUCUGGUAUGCCGCAUCCUCUGCACGGGUAUGAUGUUUGUUGCCUGCUGCCCUGGGCUGGAGGCUUGACUGGUGCGGGCACUCCCACGGCUCCAUCUCACGAGCAGAUCCGAGUGGCCAGAGCAAGGCCUGGCCAGGGGCAAGUGCUCGGUAAGUCCUCACACACCCGCGCAUUCCUUCGCCCCUGAAACGCCCACCCUGUCCAGGCGCGGCACCUGAGUGGGCAGAAGACCCUCGGAGCGUGGGAGGGCGGGGAGCACCGCCGCUGCUUCCCGGUGAGCUGUUUUGGUCGAAUGCUGGCGGGAGGCAGUGUGGUUGGCUUGGGAUUUCUCCAGGCUCCACUUCUCUGCCACCUCGCCCCCCCCCCCGCCCUCUUCGCCAGAGAGCACAGAGCACUGGCCCUUGCUCAGAUCGGGAAGCCGAAGGGGGGCCCGAGGAGGGUGGGCAUGGCCGGAGACCUGGCACAGAGUCAGAAGGGGGCUGGGAUCCAGGGGCUCGGGGCCGGGCGAGGGGUGGGCCUGCCAGGGUGGGUCGGAGUGGAGGCAGAGAGGCACGAGCCUCCUGCAGAGGCUGAGGGAGAGAGGGGACCCUGUCCUGAUAGACUCCCUCUGGGAUCCUGUAAUGAGCCUGGCAGCACCAUCCCGGUCUCAGCUCCACAGGGCUCCGGCGCUCUCAGCGGUGUGUCUGGGAGAAUUAACCGCCUCGAUGCCUGACAGACGUGGAGAGCAGAGUGUGAGUGUGUGUGGUGGUGGGGAAGAGGCAGCGCUUCCCUCUAAAAUCAUCUGUGACUGCCACUCAGGUUUCCGCUUUCAGAGCCUCCAUUAUCCGCCAGCCUCGGGCGGCCCCCUGUGCCACCACCACCACCACCAUUCCCGAGGCUCUGCCUGCAGCUGGCUCUGCCCUCUCUGUGUCCCCAAGCAGAGCUUUCAAAUGCCCCUUCCUCAGGCUUGGCACUAAUGCCCGCCGUGCUGCCGUGCCCUCGCCUGCGGUGCCCACUCCAGCCUGACAGUCACUUUCUCCAAGGGUCCCAGUCCCUCGAUUGCCAACAAGUGUUCCCUGGGGCUGGUCAGAGUUAAGUCCAGAGCAGCGCAUUUCUUCCCUGCUUCCUCCGUUUCUGAGCUAUGAAAUGAUCCACUGAGCAAAUCAAUGAUUCAUCAGAUUAUCCACAUUUAGUCUAAAUUAAAUUGCUUCCCCUCAGGCUAGACUUUGAAGUCUGGCUUCACCUGAGUCCACCACCCAGCCUGCUGUCCGACAGAGUGCAGCCAGCUCACCCCCACGCUGGGCCCCUUCUCCCCACCACGCGUUCCCCACUCUGCUGUGCCCUGACCCCAGUCUUAGCCCAAUCGGACCCCCUGUCCAGAAGCCCAUCCUUCUCUCCGUUGUCAUCCAGCUUGCUCUUCAAGGUCCCGUCUUAAACCCAACCUUCGCCAUGAGCUUCUCUGGGCUUCUGCAACAGGCAGAAGUAGUUUACGAUUAGACGCACACAACUUUGCAUUCAGUCGCACUCCAUCUGUUUCACGUUGGAGUGAGUCGCUAAGUAACACAAGGGCAGGACACUGUAACUGACCCCCUCACAACACCAAGCACAGCCCACUCGAUAAAUACGUGUCGAUUGGACCAAGGUGAUUCCACCUUUCUCUCCAGCUUUAUCCCUUUCUCUUUUUUUAUGCUUUCUUUUUGAUGAGGAAGAUUGGCCCUGAGCUAACAUCUGUUGCCAAUCUUCCUCCUCUUUUUUUUCCUCCCCAAAGCCCCAGUACUUAGUUGCACAUCCUAGUUGUGAGUCAUUCUAGUUCUUCCAUGUGGGAUGCCGCCACAGCAUGGCUUGAUGAACAGCGUGUAGGUUCGCACCUGGGAUCUGAACCAGCGAGCCCUGGGCUGCUGAAGGGGAGUGUGCGAACCCAACCACUUGGCCACGGGACCCAACCCAUAUCCCUUUUUCUUAAUCCAAACUACCUUUAGCCCCUCAGCCCUCCAUCCCGCUUUUCCCUCCAGUCCUCAGGGUACAGGGUCAGGUGAUCUCGCUGGCUGCACGCCUACUGAAGAGACUGGAAGCAGGGCUGACGUGGGCAGGAGGCCAGAUGAGAGAAGCUGGAAGCUGGUUUGAGGAGCCACUGAUAGAGACGACAUGGAUGGAUUCCAGAGAUAAUCAGAAGGCUAGAAACUGAUUGCUGCACUCACCUGUGACCGCCCAGCUCGAGACAAUAGACUUGCCUCCUGCUACGCCCUCUGAGACAGCAGACCCACUACCUGUGUCCAUCAAGCGCUGCACCGACAGGAAAAUCUUGUGAUUAUUGUAGAAGGGACAUUUCAAUCAUAUGUAAAGCAUCCUGUAUGGGGUAUAUAACCACCCUGUAUACCUUACUUCUUCGGUGCCCUUUCUUCCUAGGGAAGAAAGACCCCGGGCCACGGUCCUCAGAUUUUAGAUCAGAAUAAACUCUCCCAAAUUUUCA